Molecule: small nucleolar RNA, 131 nt
Organism: Suncus etruscus (white-toothed pygmy shrew)
Lineage: Eukaryota; Metazoa; Chordata; Mammalia; Eulipotyphla; Soricidae
Product: small nucleolar RNA SNORA51
Exons: 1
Source: RefSeq, a predicted model, not a curated record
GGUCUCCCAAUUCUUACCACAGGCUGUGUUCUUUACAGACUGUGUAGAAAGAGAAGAUACAGUAAAUGCAACUCAUAUACACCUCAACCCAGGCUCUUUACCUGGUCUGUAUUGUAAAUUGGGGGACAAAA